UUUAGUCAGGCAACAAGCGAGACCCGCACGCCUAAUUGCCAGCAACACCCCUGUGGUGGUUGGGUACAUUAGGUGGACUGCCGCUGCCAAAGCGGAGGAAGGAACGGGCAACGGUAGGUCAGCAUGCCCCGAAUGUGCUGGGCUACACGCGGGCUACAAUGGUUGAGACAAUGGGUUGCUACCUCGAAAGAGGACGCUAAUCUCCUAAACUCAAUCGUAGUUCGGAUUGAGGGCUGAAACUCGCCCUCAUGAAGCUGGAUUCGGUAGUAAUCGCAUUUCACAAGAGUGCGGUGAAUACGUCCCUGCUCCUUGCACA
RNAcentral lists this ribosomal RNA (316 nucleotides) under uncultured archaeon. Its description in RNAcentral is "bacterial SSU rRNA". It matches the Rfam family "Archaeal small subunit ribosomal RNA", at positions 1029 to 1343 of the family's 1478-position model. The record is from RNAcentral.